Molecule: ribosomal RNA, 507 nt
Filed under: uncultured Glomus
Lineage: Eukaryota; Fungi; Glomeromycota; Glomeromycetes; Glomerales; Glomeraceae
Description: SSU rRNA
Rfam family: Eukaryotic small subunit ribosomal RNA
Source: RNAcentral
AGCAGCCGCGGUAAAUUCCAGUCGUUCCAAUAGCGUAUAUUAAAGUUGUUGCAGUUAAAAGCUCGUAGUUGAAUUUCGGGAUCAAUUUGUCGGUCGUGCCAAUGGUAUGAACUGGUACAAUUGGUUUCUCCCUUCUGACGAAGCAUGAUGUCAUUAAUUUGGUGUCGUGGGGAAUCAGGACUGUUACUUUGAAAAAAUUAGAGUGUUUAAAGCAAGCAUUAGCUUGAAUACAUUAGCAUGGAAUAAUGAAAUAGGACGUUUGAUCCUAUUUCGUUGGUUUCUAGGAUCGACGUAAUGAUUAAUAGGGAUAGUUGGGGGCAUUAGUAUUCAAUUGUCAGAGGUGAAAUUCUUGGAUUUAUUGAAGACUAACUACUGCGAAAGCAUUUGCCAAGGAUGUUUUCAUUAAUCAAGAACGAAAGUUAGGGGAUCGAAGACGAUCAGAUACCGUCGUAGUCUUAACCAUAAACUAUGCCGACUAGGGAUCGGAUGAUGUUAAUUUUUAAUUGA